GCGGAUGUGGCGGAACUGGUAGACGCGCUGGUCUUAGGAACCAGUGCCUGUGCGUGGGGGUUCGAGUCCCUUCAUCCGCACCA
This 83-nucleotide transfer RNA is filed under the name Clostridiales bacterium. RNAcentral's name for it is "tRNA-Leu". It matches the Rfam family "tRNA". From Rfam's summary of the family: Transfer RNA (tRNA) molecules are approximately 80 nucleotides in length. Their secondary structure includes four short double-helical elements and three loops (D, anti-codon, and T loops). The record is from RNAcentral. RNAcentral also lists the same sequence under 1 other name. Lineage: Bacteria; Bacillati; Bacillota; Clostridia; Eubacteriales.